This 73-nucleotide transfer RNA is filed under the name Thermoplasmatales archaeon SG8-52-3. Its description in RNAcentral is "tRNA-Leu". It matches the Rfam family "tRNA". Rfam says of the family: Transfer RNA (tRNA) molecules are approximately 80 nucleotides in length. Their secondary structure includes four short double-helical elements and three loops (D, anti-codon, and T loops). Further hydrogen bonds mediate the characteristic L-shaped molecular structure. tRNAs have two regions of fundamental functional importance: the anti-codon, which is responsible for specific mRNA codon recognition, and the 3' end, to which the tRNAs corresponding amino acid is attached (by aminoacyl-tRNA synthetases). tRNAs cope with the degeneracy of the genetic code in two manners: having more than one tRNA (with a specific anti-codon) for a particular amino acid; and 'wobble' base-pairing, i.e. permitting non-standard base-pairing at the 3rd anti-codon position. Lineage: Archaea; Methanobacteriati; Thermoplasmatota; Thermoplasmata; Thermoplasmatales. The record is from RNAcentral.
GCCGCCUUAGCUCAGUUGGUGGAGCACUUAGCUCAGUACCGAGCGGUCACCGGUUCGAGUCCGGUAGGCGGCG